This 470-nucleotide ribosomal RNA is filed under the name uncultured Synechococcus sp. RNAcentral's name for it is "bacterial SSU rRNA". It matches the Rfam family "Bacterial small subunit ribosomal RNA", at positions 355 to 840 of the family's 1533-position model. The record is from RNAcentral. Lineage: Bacteria; Bacillati; Cyanobacteriota; Cyanophyceae; Synechococcales; Synechococcaceae.
UGGGGAAUUUUCCGCAAUGGGCGAAAGCCUGACGGAGCAACGCCGCGUGAKGGAUGAAGGCCUCUGGGCUGUAAACCUCUUUUAUCAAGGAAGAAGAUCUGACGGUACUUGAUGAAUAAGCCACGGCUAAUUCCGUGCCAGCAGCCGCGGUAAUACGGGAGUGGCAAGCGUUAUCCGGAAUUAUUGGGCGUAAAGCGUCCGCAGGCGGCCCUUCAAGUCUGCUGUUAAAAAGUGGAGCUUAACUCCAUCAUGGCAGUGGAAACUGAKGGGCUUGAGUGUGGUAGGGGCAGAGGGAAUUCCCGGUGUAGCGGUGAAAUGCGUAGAUAUCGGGAAGAACACCAGUGGCGAAGGCGCUCUGCUGGGCCAUCACUGACGMUCAUGGACGAAAGCCAGGGGAGYGAAAGGGAUUAGAUACCCCUGUAGUCCUGGCCGUAWWCRAUSAACACUAGGUGUCGGKGGAAUCGACCCCC